UACGUAGGGUGCAAGCGUUGUCCGGAAUUAUUGGGCGUAAAGAGCUCGUAGGCGGUUCGUCGCGUCGGCUGUGAAAUCCCGAGGCUCAACCUCGGGUCUGCAGUCGAUACGGGCGGACUGGAGUUCGGCAGGGGAGACUGGAAUUCCUGGUGUAGCGGUGAAAUGCGCAGAUAUCAGGAAGAACACCGAUGGCGAAGGCAGAUCUCUGGGCCGUAACUGACGCUGAGGAGCGAAAGCAUGGGGGAGCGAACAGG
This 254-nucleotide ribosomal RNA is filed under the name uncultured bacterium. RNAcentral's name for it is "partial 16S ribosomal RNA". It matches the Rfam family "Bacterial small subunit ribosomal RNA", at positions 524 to 776 of the family's 1533-position model. The record is from RNAcentral.